This is an unclassified non-coding RNA of Mustela putorius furo (domestic ferret), 270 nucleotides long. Its record names the gene 7SK. It matches the Rfam family "7SK RNA". Rfam says of the family: 7SK was discovered as an abundant small nuclear RNA in the mid-70s but a possible function has only recently been suggested. Two independent studies have found that 7SK RNA binds the CDK9/cyclin T complex (known as elongation factor P-TEFb). NCBI's taxonomy places the organism in Eukaryota, Metazoa, Chordata, Mammalia, Carnivora, Mustelidae. The record is from Ensembl.
GGAUGUGAGGGCCAUCUGGCUGUGACAUCUGUCACCCCAUUGAUCACCAGGGUUGAUUCAGCUGAUCUGGCUGGCUAGACAGGUGUCCCCUUCCUUCCUUACCAUUCCAUGUGCAUCCCUCCCAAAGCUGCACGCUCCAUCAGAGAGGACAACAACCUUCCCCGAUAAAGGAGAGGACCAUCCUUCAGUCAAGGGUUUACAAAUAGCUGCACUCCCUGGCUAGAACCUCCCAACAAAUGAGGCGCUGCACAUGACAGUCUACCUUUCUUU